UGCAACUCGCCUGCAUGAAGCUGGAAUUGCUAGUAAUCGCGGAUCAGCAAGCCGCGGUGAAUACGUUCCCGGGCCUUGUACACACCGCCCGUCACACCAUGAGAGUCGGGAACACCCGAAGUCCGUAGUCUAACCGCAAGGGGGGCGCGGCCGAAGGUGGGUCCGGUAAUUGGGUGAAGUCGUAACAAGGUAUC
This 194-nucleotide ribosomal RNA is filed under the name uncultured bacterium. RNAcentral's name for it is "partial 16S ribosomal RNA". It matches the Rfam family "Bacterial small subunit ribosomal RNA", at positions 1306 to 1500 of the family's 1533-position model. The record is from RNAcentral.